Molecule: ribosomal RNA, 440 nt
Filed under: uncultured bacterium
Lineage: Bacteria
Description: partial 16S ribosomal RNA
Rfam family: Bacterial small subunit ribosomal RNA
Source: RNAcentral
CCUACGGGCGGCAGCAGUAGGGAAUAUUGCUCAAUGGUGGAAACCCUGAAGCAGCAACGCCGCGUGGAGGAUGAAGGUUUUCGGAUUGUAAACUCAUUUUGUUAGAGAAGAUAAUGACGGUAUCUAACCAAUUAGCAUCGGCCAACUCCGUGCCAGCAGCCGUGGUAAGACGGAGGGCGCAAGCGUUACACGGAAUCACUGGGCGUAAAGAGCGCGUAGGCGGGAUAGCAAGUCAGAUGUGAAAUCCUAUGGCGUAACCAUAGAACUGCAUUUGAAACUGUUAUUCUAGAGUAUGGGAGAGGUAGGUGGAAUUCUUGGUGUAGGGGUAAAAUCCGUAGAGAUCAAGAGGAAUACUCAUUGCGAAGGCGACCUGCUAGAACAUAACUGACGCUGAUGCGCGAAAGCGUGGGGAGCAAACAGGAUUAGAUACCCCAGUAGUC